Molecule: ribosomal RNA, 369 nt
Filed under: uncultured bacterium
Lineage: Bacteria
Description: bacterial SSU rRNA
Rfam family: Bacterial small subunit ribosomal RNA
Source: RNAcentral
AAUGAACGUUGGCGGCGUGGAUUAGGCAUGCAAGUCGCGCGACAAGGAACCUUCGGGUUCUGGAGGAGCGGCAAACGGGGUAGUAAGGGCAUCGGAACGUACCCUCUUGUUGGGAAUAGCCGCGGGAAACUGCGAGUAAUGCCCAAUAAUCCCUACGGGGCAAAGGUCCGCCGCAGGAGGAGCGGCCGAUGUGAUACCAGCUAGUUGGUGAGGUAAUGGCUCACCAAGGCUUAGACGUCUAAGGGGUGUGAGAGCAUGGCCCCCACACUGGGACUGAGAUACUGCCCAGACACCUACGGGUGGCUGCAGUCGAGAAUCUUCGGCAAUGGGCGCAAGCCUGACCGAGCAACGCCGCGUGCGGGAUGAAGG